AUUACCGCGGCUGCUGGCACGAAGUUAGCCGGGGCUUAUUCUCCUGGUACCGUCAUUAUCUUCCCAGGUAAAAGAGCUUUACAACCCUAAGGCCUUCAUCACUCACGCGGCAUGGCUGGUAUCAGGCUUGCGCCCAUUGUCCAAUAUUCCCCACUGCUGCCUCCCGUAGG
RNAcentral lists this ribosomal RNA (170 nucleotides) under uncultured alpha proteobacterium WkB18. RNAcentral's name for it is "partial 16S ribosomal RNA". Lineage: Bacteria; Pseudomonadati; Pseudomonadota; Alphaproteobacteria. The record is from RNAcentral.